GAUGAAGAACGUAGUGAAAUGCGAUACUUGGUGUGAAUUGCAGAAUCCCGUGAACCAUCGAGUCUUUGAACGCAAGUUGCGCCCGAAGCCAUCAGGUUGAGGGCACGUCUGCCUGGGCGUCACAUAUCGUUGCCCAAUGCCUAUUGCAGUGCAAUAGGAAUUUCUAGGGCGAAUGAUGGCUUCCCGUGAGCGUUGUUGCCUCGCGGUUGGUUGAAAAUCGAGUCCUUGGUAGGGUGUGCCAUGGUAGAUGGUGGUCGAGUUAGAACGAUACCGAUCAUGUGCAUGCUCCCCAAAAUAUGGCCUCUAUGACCAACACGCGUCUUUUGACGCUCAUGAUGAGACCUCAGGUCAGGCGGGGCUACCCGCUGAAUUUAAGCAUAUCAAUAAGCGGAGGA
This 395-nucleotide unclassified non-coding RNA is filed under the name soil metagenome. RNAcentral describes it as "partial contains 5.8S ribosomal RNA, internal transcribed spacer 2, and large subunit ribosomal RNA". The stretch from base 1 to 122 matches the Rfam family "5.8S ribosomal RNA", at positions 35 to 154 of the family's 154-position model. The record is from RNAcentral.